AACGCUGUGAGGCAGUUUGUUUGAUAUCUACUGGGAAUGUUGGGUGUCUGAAAGGAAGGACCUCUUAGUACGAGAGGAACGGAGCGUUCGUAGCCUCUGGUAGACCGAUUGUCUGACAAGGCAGGUCGGGCAGCCACGCUAUAAGGGAUAAAUGCUGAAAGCAUCUAAGCAUGAAACCCGCCUUGAAAAGAGACACCUUAGGA
RNAcentral lists this ribosomal RNA (203 nucleotides) under Candidatus Woesearchaeota archaeon. RNAcentral describes it as "partial 23S ribosomal RNA". It matches the Rfam family "Archaeal large subunit ribosomal RNA", at positions 2684 to 2886 of the family's 2987-position model. The record is from RNAcentral. Lineage: Archaea; Nanobdellati; Candidatus Woesearchaeota.